Molecule: ribosomal RNA, 195 nt
Filed under: uncultured eukaryote
Lineage: Eukaryota
Description: partial 18S ribosomal RNA
Rfam family: Eukaryotic small subunit ribosomal RNA
Source: RNAcentral
CAUAACCUGGUUGAUCCUGCCAGUAGUCAUAUGCUUGUCUCAAAGAUUAAGCCAUGCAUGUCUAAGUAUAAACAUCUUUAUACAGUGAAACUGCGAACGGCUCAUUAUAUCAGUGAUUAUUUCUUUGAUGGUACUUCACUACAUGGAUAACUGUAGUAAUUCUAGAGCUAAUACAUGCAUAAAGGCCCGACUCUU